CCUACGGGAGGCUGCAGUGAGGAAUAUUGGUCAAUGGGCGUAAGCCUGAACCAGCCAAGCCGCGUGAGGGAUGAAGGUUCUAUGGAUCGUAAACCUCUUUUAUAAGGGAAUAAAGUGUGGGACGUGUCCUAUUUUGUAUGUACCUUAUGAAUAAGGAUCGGCUAACUCCGUGCCAGCAGCCGCGGUAAUACGGAGGAUCCGAGCGUUAUCCGGAUUUAUUGGGUUUAAAGGGUGCGUAGGCGGCCUUUUAAGUCAGCGGUGAAAGUCCGUGGCUCAACCAUGGAAUUGCCGUUGAAACUGGCGGGCUUGAGUAUGUUAGAGGUAGGGGGAAUGCGUGGUGUAGCGGUGAAAUGCGUAGAUAUCACGCAGAACCCCGAUUGCGAAGGCAGCCUGCCAAGCCAUGACUGACGCUGAUGCACGAAAGCGUGGGGAUCAAACAGGAUUAGAUACCCUAGUAGUC
Molecule: ribosomal RNA, 460 nt
Filed under: uncultured bacterium
Lineage: Bacteria
Description: partial 16S ribosomal RNA
Rfam family: Bacterial small subunit ribosomal RNA
Source: RNAcentral